Molecule: ribosomal RNA, 1495 nt
Filed under: Curtobacterium sp. M84
Lineage: Bacteria; Bacillati; Actinomycetota; Actinomycetes; Micrococcales; Microbacteriaceae
Description: partial 16S ribosomal RNA
Rfam family: Bacterial small subunit ribosomal RNA
Source: RNAcentral
GGCGUGUUUAACACAUGCAAGNCGAACGAUGAUGCCCAGCUUGCUGGGUGGAUUAGUGGCGAACGGGUGAGUAACACGUGAGUAACCUGCCCCUGACUCUGGGAUAAGCGUUGGAAACGACGUCUAAUACUGGAUAUGAUCACUGGCCGCAUGGUCUGGUGGUGGAAAGAUUUUUUGGUUGGGGAUGGACUCGCGGCCUAUCAGCUUGUUGGUGAGGUAAUGGCUCACCAAGGCGACGACGGGUAGCCGGCCUGAGAGGGUGACCGGCCACACUGGGACUGAGACACGGCCCAGACUCCUACGGGAGGCAGCAGUGGGGAAUAUUGCACAAUGGGCGAAAGCCUGAUGCAGCAACGCCGCGUGAGGGAUGACGGCCUUCGGGUUGUAAACCUCUUUUAGUAGGGAAGAAGCGAAAGUGACGGUACCUGCAGAAAAAGCACCGGCUAACUACGUGCCAGCAGCCGCGGUAAUACGUAGGGUGCAAGCGUUGUCCGGUNGGANGCCAAGANCNCNGGGNCGGUUUGUGGCGNNUGNUGUNAAAUCCCGAGGCUCAACCUCNNNNUUGNAUUGGNUACGGGCAGACUACAANGCCGAANNCNNGAUUNGAAUUCNNGGNGUAGGGGUGGNAUGCCGCAAAUAUUAUGAGGNNCACCANUGGCUAAGGCAANNUUAUGUNCCANNAACUGACNCUGAUGANCNAAAGCAUNNNNAUNAAACACUGAUUAGAUANCCUGCCGGCCAUNCUGUNAANGUUNCACGCUACANACUNGNACCUUUGNANNGUUUGUGUNAUAUNGCUCANUCNUUAANNGCCCCNCNUGGGGACUCCNNGCGAAGGGUUUUAAACUCAAAGAAUUUGCGGGGCCCGCACAAGCGGCGGAAGCAUCGGAUUUAUUCGAUUGCACCGCGAAGACCUUACCAAGGCUUGACAUACCACCGGAAACGGCCAAGAGAUGGUCGCCCCCCUUGUGGUCGGUGUACAGGUGGUGCAUGGUGUCGUCAAGCUCGGUCGUGAGAUGUUGGGUUAAGUCCCGCAACGAGCGCAACCCUCGUUCUAUGUUGCCAGCGGGUUAUGCCGGGGACUCAUAGGAGACUGCCGGGGUCAACUCGGAGGAAGGUGGGGAUGACGUCAAAUCAUCAUGCCCCUUAUGUCUUGGGCUUCACGCAUGCUACAAUGGCCGGUACAAAGGGCUGCGAUACCGUAAGGUGGAGCGAAUCCCAAAAAGCCGGUCUCAGUUCGGAUUGAGGUCUGCAACUCGACCUCAUGAAGUCGGAGUCGCUAGUAAUCGCAGAUCAGCAACGCUGCGGUGAAUACGUUCCCGGGCCUUGUACACACCGCCCGUCAAGUCAUGAAAGUCGGUAACACCCGAAGCCGGUGGCCUAACCCUUGUGGAAGGAGCCGUCGAAGGUGGGAUCGGUGAUUAGGACUAAGUCGUAACAAGGUAGCCGUACCGGAAGGUGCGGCUGGACCACCUCCUUAAUCUGAAUUCGUCGA